Molecule: ribosomal RNA, 784 nt
Filed under: Gibbsiella quercinecans
Lineage: Bacteria; Pseudomonadati; Pseudomonadota; Gammaproteobacteria; Enterobacterales; Yersiniaceae
Description: bacterial SSU rRNA
Rfam family: Bacterial small subunit ribosomal RNA
Source: RNAcentral
GUGCGAAAGCGUGGGGAGCAAACAGGAUUAGAUACCCUGGUAGUCCACGCUGUAAACGAUGUCGAUUUGGAGGUUGUGGCCUUGAGCCGUGGCUUCCGGAGCUAACGCGUUAAAUCGACCGCCUGGGGAGUACGGCCGCAAGGUUAAAACUCAAAUGAAUUGACGGGGGCCCGCACAAGCGGUGGAGCAUGUGGUUUAAUUCGAUGCAACGCGAAGAACCUUACCUACUCUUGACAUCCACGGAACUUGCCAGAGAUGGCUUGGUGCCUUCGGGAACCGUGAGACAGGUGCUGCAUGGCUGUCGUCAGCUCGUGUUGUGAAAUGUUGGGUUAAGUCCCGCAACGAGCGCAACCCUUAUCCUUUGUUGCCAGCGGUUCGGCCGGGAACUCAAAGGAGACUGCCAGUGAUAAACUGGAGGAAGGUGGGGAUGACGUCAAGUCAUCAUGGCCCUUACGAGUAGGGCUACACACGUGCUACAAUGGCAUAUACAAAGAGAAGCGAUCUCGCGAGAGCAAGCGGACCUCAUAAAGUAUGUCGUAGUCCGGAUUGGAGUCUGCAACUCGACUCCAUGAAGUCGGAAUCGCUAGUAAUCGUAGAUCAGAAUGCUACGGUGAAUACGUUCCCGGGCCUUGUACACACCGCCCGUCACACCAUGGGAGUGGGUUGCAAAAGAAGUAGGUAGCUUAACCUUCGGGAGGGCGCUUACCACUUUGUGAUUCAUGACUGGGGUGAAGUCGUAACAAGGUAACCGUAGGGGAACCUGCGGUUGGAUCACCUCCUUACC